Molecule: ribosomal RNA, 252 nt
Filed under: uncultured bacterium
Lineage: Bacteria
Description: partial 16S ribosomal RNA
Rfam family: Bacterial small subunit ribosomal RNA
Source: RNAcentral
UACGUAGGUGGCAAGCGUUGUCCGGAAUUAUUGGGCGUAAAGCGCGCGCAGGCGGUCCUUUAAGUCUGAUGUGAAAGCCCACGGCUCAACCGUGGAAGGUCAUUGGAAACUGGAGGACUUGAGUACAGAAGAGGAAAGCGGAAUUCCACGUGUAGCGGUGAAAUGCGUAGAGAUGUGGAGGAACACCAGUGGCGAAGGCGGCUUUCUGGUCUGUACUGACGCUGAGGAGCGAAAGCGUGGGGAGCGAACAGG